GAGUUUGAUCCUGGCUCAGGACGAACGCUGGCGGCGCGCCUAACACAUGCAAGUCGAACGAGCGAGAGAGAGCUUGCUUUCUCAAGCGAGUGGCGAACGGGUGAGUAACGCGUGAGGAACCUGCCUCAAAGAGGGGGACAACAGUUGGAAACGACUGCUAAUACCGCAUAAGCCCACAGCUCGGCAUCGAGCAGAGGGAAAAGGAGCAAUCCGCUUUGAGAUGGCCUCGCGUCCGAUUAGCUAGUUGGUGAGGUAAUGGCCCACCAAGGCGACGAUCGGUAGCCGGACUGAGAGGUUGAACGGCCACAUUGGGACUGAGACACGGCCCAGACUCCUACGGGAGGCAGCAGUGGGGAAUAUUGCACAAUGGGGGAAACCCUGAUGCAGCGACGCCGCGUGGAGGAAGAAGGUCUUCGGAUUGUAAACUCCUGUUGUUGAGGAAGAUAAUGACGGUACUCAACAAGGAAGUGACGGCUAACUACGUGCCAGCAGCCGCGGUAAAACGUAGGUCACAAGCGUUGUCCGGAAUUACUGGGUGUAAAGGGAGCGCAGGCGGGAAGACAAGUUGGAAGUGAAAUCUAUGGGCUCAACCCAUAAACUGCUUUCAAAACUGUUUUUCUUGAGUAGUGCAGAGGUAGGCGGAAUUCCCGGUGUAGCGGUGGAAUGCGUAGAUAUCGGGAGGAACACCAGUGGCGAAGGCGGCCUACUGGGCACCAACUGACGCUGAGGCUCGAAAGUGUGGGUAGCAAACAGGAUUAGAUACCCUGGUAGUCCACACCGUAAACGAUGAUUACUAGGUGUUGGAGGAUUGACCCCUUCAGUGCCGCAGUUAACACAAUAAGUAAUCCACCUGGGGAGUACGACCGCAAGGUUGAAACUCAAAGGAAUUGACGGGGGCCCGCACAAGCAGUGGAGUAUGUGGUUUAAUUCGACGCAACGCGAAGAACCUUACCAAGUCUUGACAUCCUGCGACGCACAUAGAAAUAUGUGUUUCCUUCGGGACGCAGAGACAGGUGGUGCAUGGUUGUCGUCAGCUCGUGUCGUGAGAUGUUGGGUUAAGUCCCGCAACGAGCGCAACCCUUACUGUCAGUUACUACGCAAGAGGACUCUGGCAGGACUGCCGUUGACAAAACGGAGGAAGGUGGGGAUGACGUCAAAUCAUCAUGCCCUUUAUGACUUGGGCUACACACGUACUACAAUGGCGUUAAACAAAGAGAAGCAAGACCGCGAGGUGGAGCAAAACUCAGAAACAACGUCCCAGUUCGGACUGCAGGCUGCAACUCGCCUGCACGAAGUCGGAAUUGCUAGUAAUCGUGGAUCAGCAUGCCACGGUGAAUACGUUCCCGGGCCUUGUACACACCGCCCGUC
RNAcentral lists this ribosomal RNA (1368 nucleotides) under uncultured bacterium. RNAcentral's name for it is "bacterial SSU rRNA". It matches the Rfam family "Bacterial small subunit ribosomal RNA". The record is from RNAcentral.